Molecule: ribosomal RNA, 266 nt
Filed under: Escherichia coli
Lineage: Bacteria; Pseudomonadati; Pseudomonadota; Gammaproteobacteria; Enterobacterales; Enterobacteriaceae
Also listed under: 1 other name
Description: partial 16S ribosomal RNA
Rfam family: Bacterial small subunit ribosomal RNA
Source: RNAcentral
AAAUUGAAGAGUUUGAUCAUGGCUCAGAUUGAACGCUGGCGGCAGGCCUAACACAUGCAAGUCGAACGGUAACAGGAAGCGCUUGCUGCUUCGCUGACGAGUGGCGGACGGGUGAGUAAUGUCUGGGAAACUGCCUGAUGGAGGGGGAUAACUACUGGAAACGGUAGCUAAUACCGCAUAACGUCGCAAGACCAAAGAGGGGGACCUUCGGGCCUCUUGCCAUCGGAUGUGCCCAGAUGGGAUUAGCUUGUUGGUGGGGUAACGGC